Molecule: ribosomal RNA, 374 nt
Filed under: uncultured organism
Description: partial 16S ribosomal RNA
Rfam family: Bacterial small subunit ribosomal RNA
Source: RNAcentral
GUAGGGGGCGAGCGUUGUCCGGAUUUAUUGGGCGUAAAGGGCUCGUAGGCGGCUUGACAAGUCGAUCGUGAAAACCCAGGGCUCAACCCUGGGACGCCGGUCGAUACUGUCAUGGCUAGGGUCCGGUAGAGGAGAAUGGAAUUCCCGGUGUAGCGGUGAAAUGCGCAGAUAUCGGGAGGAACACCAGUAGCGAAGGCGGUUCUCUGGGCCGGUACCGACGCUGAGGAGCGAAAGCGUGGGGAGCAAACAGGAUUAGAUACCCUGGUAGUCCACGCCGUAAACGGUGGGUACUAGGUGUGGCGUCUUUAUCAACGGAUGCCGUGCCGAAGCUAACGCAUUAAGUACCCCGCCUGGGGAGUACGGCCGCAAGGCUA